Molecule: RNA transcript, 1261 nt
Organism: Impatiens glandulifera
Lineage: Eukaryota; Viridiplantae; Streptophyta; Magnoliopsida; Ericales; Balsaminaceae
Exons: 10
Source: RefSeq, a predicted model, not a curated record
UAAUCUCUGCGUUUCCAGGGAGAAUGGCUUUAGAGACUAACGCAAUCGCCGGCGUUCUUUCGCUUUCAUUACGUCGCCGCCGACUUAAUUCUCUACCUAUGACCGUUUCCUCUCCACGAAUGAUUGGAGGAGGAUUUAUAGUACAGGCCUCUAUAAAGAGAAACCCUAAACGCCUCAAGUAUUCACUACCUCGUUUUACCAAGGAGAAUGGGUUGCUAUACAUUGAAGUUGAUCCAUCAGGAUCAGAUAGUUGGAGAUUGGAUCCAGUUAUUGAGCUUCUACAAAAGGGAGCUGUUGGUGUCAUUCCUACUGAUACAGUAUAUGCAAUGGCUUGUGAUUUGAGAAACGCCUCGGCUAUUGAACGUCUCCGCAGGAUAAAGAGAAUAGAACCUUCAAAGCCGUUGAGCAUUUUGUGUCAUUCCUUCCGAGAUAUAGACACUUACACUACAGGAUUUCCUCGUGGUAAUGGAGACGGUUUCAUAAACAUAUUUCGGGCUGUGAAACAUUGCUUACCUGGACCUUACACCUUCAUCUUAACUGCAAGUAAAGAACUACCAAAACAGUGUACUAGGUAUGGUUCUGCUUCCAGGUAUGCACACAGGAAAAAUGUAGGCAUUCGCAUGCCUGAUGAUCCUAUUUGUCAAGCUAUACUAGAGAAGAUAGAUACAUCAUUGAUAUCCACAAGUGUGAAGUCCCCAAAUCAAGAUGAGUGGAUAUUAGAUCCAGUUAUAAUAGCUGAUGUAUAUGGGAAAGAGGGACUUGAUUUUGUUGUUGAUGCUGGUAUGCGAUUGACUGAUCCAUCUACAGUUGUUGAUAUGACAGGGAGUUUCCCAAAAAUUAUUAGGCAAGGAAAGGGGCCUAAACAACCAUGGAUGGAAGCAGAAGAUGAUGAAUAUACUGUAGAAAACGAAAAUGGUGAUAUUAUCUCAUCUACUGCAUAGAAGGCAAUGGAACUGUAUAUACAUCAACAGACCUGGGGAAAUAUUACAGGAUGAGAAAGGUCAUGUUUGACAUGGACGAUGAUACAUACCUGCAUGUGCACAGGAUAAAUUGCUUGUUCUUUUGGCUCCAGUUCUUCUGCUAUGAAUUCAACAUGGCAGAUCCUGCAUGCUUUACAAGUGAAUUCAAGCAAUCUUGUGCCUAGCCACUACACCAAUAAUGGAAAUUCAUUCAGUAAUGGGUAUUAAACUGUUUGAAUUUUGUUAAGAAGAUGAUUGAAAUGUAGUUCUUGAUUAUGUUGAAUGUAUAAUGAUCAAAAACA